RNAcentral lists this ribosomal RNA (496 nucleotides) under uncultured bacterium. Its description in RNAcentral is "partial 16S ribosomal RNA". It matches the Rfam family "Bacterial small subunit ribosomal RNA", at positions 28 to 507 of the family's 1533-position model. The record is from RNAcentral.
GAUGAACGCUGGCGGCGUGCCUAAUACAUGCAAGUCGAGCGAACAGACGAGGAGCUUGCUCCUCUGACGUUAGCGGCGGACGGGUGAGUAACACGUGGAUAACCUACCUAUAAGACUGGGAUAACUUCGGGAAACCGGAGCUAAUACCGGAUAAUAUAUUGAACCGCAUGGUUCAAUAGUGAAAGACGGUUUUGCUGUACUUAUAGAUGGAUCCGCGCCGCAUUAGCUAGUUGGUAAGGUAACGGCUUACCAAGGCGACGAUGCGUAGCCGACCUGAGAGGGUGAUCGGCCACACUGGAACUGAGACACGGUCCAGACUCCUACGGGAGGCAGCAGUAGGGAAUCUUCCGCAAUGGGCGAAAGCCUGACGGAGCAACGCCGCGUGAGUGAUGAAGGUCUUCGGAUCGUAAAACUCUGUUAUUAGGGAAGAGCAAAUGUGUAAGUAACUAUGCACGUCUUGACGGUACCUAAUCAGAAAGCCACGGCUAACUACGUG